GUGAGGAAUAUUGCGCAAUGGAGGCAACUCUGACGCAGCCAUGCCGCGUGCAGGAAGAAGGCGCUACGCGUUGUAAACUGCUUUUAACCGGGAAGAAACCCCAGGACGUGUCCUGGGUUGACGGUACCGGAGGAAUAAGCACCGGCUAACUUCGUGCCAGCAGCCGCGGUAAUACGAAGGGUGCAAGUGUUAUCCGGAUUCAUUGGGUUUAAAGGGUGCGUAGGCGGAGCGUUAAGUCAGUGGUGAAAUCCUGCAGCUUAACUGUAGACUUGCCAUUGAUACUGGCGCUCUUGAGUGCGCUUGAAGUGGGCGGAAUGUGCCGUGUAGCGGUGAAAUGCUUAGAUAUGGCACAGAACACCAAUUGCGAAGGCAGCUCACUAAGGCGAUACUGACGCUGAGGCACGAAAGCGUGGGGAUCGAACAGGAUUAGAAACCCGGGUAGUCC
This 445-nucleotide ribosomal RNA is filed under the name uncultured bacterium. Its description in RNAcentral is "partial 16S ribosomal RNA". It matches the Rfam family "Bacterial small subunit ribosomal RNA", at positions 354 to 796 of the family's 1533-position model. The record is from RNAcentral.